CCUACGGGAGGCAGCAGUGGGGAAUAUUGGACAAUGGGGGGAACCCUGAUCCAGCGACGCCGCGUGAGUGAAGAAGUAUUUCGGUAUGUAAAGCUCUAUCAGCAGGGAAGAAAAUGACGGUACCUGACUAAGAAGCCCCGGCUAACUACGUGCCAGCAGCCGCGGUAAUACGUAGGGGGCAAGCGUUAUCCGGAUUUACUGGGUGUAAAGGGAGCGUAGACGGCAGCACAAGUCUGGAGUGAAAUGCCGGGGCUUAACCCCGGAACUGCUUUGGAAACUGUGCAGCUAGAGUGCAGGAGAGGUAAGUGGAAUUCCUAGUGUAGCGGUGAAGUGCGUAGAUAUUAGGAGGAACACCAGUGGCGAAGGCGGCUUACUGGACUGUAACUGACGUUGAGGCUCGAAAGCGUGGGGAGCAAACAGGAUUAGAUACCCGUGUAGUC
This 440-nucleotide ribosomal RNA is filed under the name uncultured bacterium. Its description in RNAcentral is "partial 16S ribosomal RNA". It matches the Rfam family "Bacterial small subunit ribosomal RNA", at positions 338 to 795 of the family's 1533-position model. The record is from RNAcentral.